GAUGAACGCUGGCGGCGUGCCUAAUACAUGCAAGUCGAACGAAGAUCUAGCUUGCUAGAUCUUAGUGGCGAACGGGUGAGUAAUACAUAAAUAAUCUGCUCAUAUGACUGGGAUAACUAUUGGAAACGAUAGCUAAUACCGGAUAGGUUGAUCGGAGGCAUCUCUGAUGAAUUAAAGUAGGAUUUCUACACAAAUGGAUGAGUUUAUGGCGCAUUAGUUAGUUGGUGGGGUAACGGCCUACCAAGACGAUGAUGCGUAGCCGACCUGAGAGGGUGACCGGCCACACUGGGACUGAGACACGGCCCAGACUCCUACGGGAGGCAGCAGUAGGGAAUUUUCGGCAAUGGGCGCAAGCCUGAACCAGCAAUGCCGCGUGAGUGAUGAAGGCCUUCGGGUUGUAAAGCUCUGUCAGAGGGAACGAAAAAACUGCGUAACGAGCAGUCUUGACGGUACCCUCAAAGGAAGCACCGGCUAACUCUGUGCCAGCCGCCGCAGUAA
Molecule: ribosomal RNA, 498 nt
Filed under: uncultured bacterium
Lineage: Bacteria
Description: partial 16S ribosomal RNA
Rfam family: Bacterial small subunit ribosomal RNA
Source: RNAcentral